GAGCCACAAAUUCUGACAGUGGUAUCAGAGCCACAAAUUCUAACCGGAGCUAUCAAUUAUCAGAAACUCCUCUGUUCUAAUACAAAACACCUCCUCUGUUUUUAACUACUCUACCAUCUCCUCUUUUUCAAACUAUACUCUUUCUACCAGACUCUUGCUCCUAAAACUGAAGUCCUAAACCCAUUGUCCUAUCCCACUACUUCUAAAGCUUCCACACCAAAUUACAAAAGUGGUAUCAAAGCGACAAAUUCUAACACUUGCUCUUCUUACCGAUUGUCCAUCUUCAUUUCUCAAAUCUAAACCACUGCAUCCAUAGCCCUUUACUCCAAUGAAGGCAUCGUCAUCAUCCUCAUCGCUUCCAUCGGGGACACCAUCCUCAAGGCCACCGGAGUUCCCUGACUACACGUACGACGUGUUCUUGAGCUUCAGAGGUGAAGACACACGGAGGACCUUCACGGACCACCUGUACGCGGCACUAGUUCGUGCCGGAGUCAGGACGUUUAGGGAUGCCGAGGGACUAAGAAGGGGAGAAAACAUAGCGGAGGAUUUGGUGGAGAUAAUCCAAGGGUGUAGGAUCUCACUCAUCGUCUUCUCAGAAAAUUACGCGGAUUCGAGUUGGUGUCUCGAGGAGCUGGUGCAGAUCAUGGAGUGUAGAAAAACACAAAGGCAACGGGUUUUCCCAAUAUUCUAUCAUGUCGAUCCUUCACAUGUCAGAAACCAGACCGGUAUCUUUGCUCAUGCGUUUGAGAGACAUGAAGCCACAGUACAUCAAGGUAGAGAUAAGAUAGCAAGGUGGAGAGCUGCUCUUAGAGGAGCGGCGAAUUUGGCUGGCUUCGAUAUUGCUGAUAGGCAUGAAGCAGAGUUUAUCAAUAGCAUUGUUGACGAGAUAUGCAGACAGCUGACCACCCCAUACUUGAAUUUAGCUGUCCAUCCAGUUGGAAUAGAUUCUCGUGUUAAAGAUAUUGGUGAAUAUUUACGUUUUAGAUUAGAUAAUGCUGUUUACAUGGUUGGAAUUUGGGGUAUGGGUGGAAUCGGCAAAACAACAGUUGCCAAAGCCAUCUAUAACAAAUUUUAUCAUGACUUUGACAGUAGAAGUUUCCUAGCAGAUGUUAGGGAAACAGCAAAGGACCUAAGUGGUAAGAUUGCACUGCAAGAAAGACUUCUUUCUGAUGUCUUAAAACCAACCAUGAUAAGGGUGGGUGAUGUUUCCAAAGGCAUCAAUGUGAUCAGAGAACGACUUAGAAGCAAAAAGGUACUUGUCAUCGUUGACAAUGUCGAUCGUCUGGAACAAUUGAAUGCAUUGGCAAUAAGCCGUGAUUCCUUUGGUCUGGGAAGUAUAAUUAUUAUAACAACAAGAGAUCGACAUUUGUUACAACAAGUGAGAGCGGAUAAAAUACAUCUGACACAAGAAAUGAAUGAAGAAGAAGCUCUUGAACUCUUCAGUUGGCAUGCCUUUCAAAAUUAUUCUCCUAAGGAAGACUAUAUCGAACUCUCAAGAAGAGUGGUUACUUACUGUGGAGGUUUACCGCUGGCUCUUGAAGUUUUAGGGUCUUUCCUCUUUGGAAGGAGCAUAGGAGAUUGGAAUAGCACGCUGAAGAAAUUGGAAAAAAUUCCUGAUGGCACAAUUCAGUCAAAGCUCAGAAUAAGCUUUGAUGCACUUGAGGAGAGGCAGAGGCACAUAUUCCUCCACAUAUGUUGUUUCUUCAUUGGAAUGGACAAAAACCAUGUCAUAAAAAUACUCAAGGGCUGUAGUUUUUCUCCAGAAAUAGAAAUCAGUGUCCUCUCUGAACGUUGCCUCGUAACUGUUAAUGAAAAAGACAAGCUAAUGAUGCAUGAUUUGCUUCGAGACAUGGGCAGAGAAAUUGUUCGUGAAGAAUCCCCGAACCACCCUGAAAGACGUAGUAGAUUGUGGCGUCAGGAAGAUGUAAUAGAAGUUAUGAAAGAUAAAUCUGGAACUGAAGAGACUGAAGGACUCGCUCUAAACUUGCAAAGAUCUGAUAACAUGAGUUUCAGUACAGAAGCAUUUAGAAAAAUGAAGAGAUUGAAAUUGCUCCAUCUCAACUAUGUACAACUCACAGGAGACUGCAACGAGUUCUCGAAAAAGUUAAGAUGGCUCUGCCUGCGAGGAUUCUCUCGACAAGUCAUACGAAAUGAGUUUCUUAAUGAACCACACCUGGUUUCUAUCGACCUGCGGUACAGCAAUCUCGUACGAGUUUGGGAGAAUUCCAGGCGGCUUGGGAAAUUGGAGAUACUUAAUCUCAGUCAUUCACAUUACCUAAGACAAUCACCAGACUUUUCGCAACUCCCAAAUCUACAGUAUGUGAUCCUUAAAGACUGUGUGAGUUUGCCAAAGAUUGACAAGUCCAUUGGACUUCUUUCUCGACUUGUCUUGCUAAAUCUUAAAGGCUGCACAAUGCUUAAGAACCUUCCGGAGGAUUUUUACAAGUUGCUCUCUCUUAGGACUCUUGUUCUUUCUGGCUGUUCGAGAUUUGAGAAUUUGAGCAAGGAUAUCGGAAAUAUGAUUUCAUUGAGAACUCUUGUUAUAUUUGGUACAGGCAUAAGUAAAAUACCAUCCUCUGUAGAUUGCCUUCGGAACCUGGACUUUUCAUCUCGACAAGGCCUGAGUGGACUAGAACGAUGUGAUCAGACAUCAAGCCCUUGGCUGAGUUUGUGGCGGUUUUUAUACAAAUUUCGUUUGUGGUUUUUAAAAUUUGCUAUUUUGGUUGUUCAGUAUUUGGUAUUGUCCAUAUUGAAGCCCAGUAGCUCCACCCGAAGUACUCCCCACUCCCGACUCCAGAACUCGACUACGGCCUAUUCGAACUCGAGAAUCGUCUCUCCUCCUCUCGGCUUCUGCGGCUCUGCCCUUCUCCACUUCUCUCAGAGAUCAAGUCGUAUCUACUUCUCUGACUUUCCCUCUUCAAUUUGGGGCAAUGAAUUCAAUUGGAUUGAAGAUUUCGUGGAAUGAAGAGGGAUAGCUGCUGCUGUGCUAUCCACAACCAUGAUCUCGCCGACUCAUCUCACUCUCAAAUUUCAGCUCAAACGGUGACUACUCACCACGCCAUUCAAAACUCAGAAUAUCAACAAUAGAUCAUUUCAUUUGUGGGUUUGAUUUUCAUCUUAUAAAUAGGUCUUUGUUUGGUACCAAUUUGGUUGUUCAUGACCUAGUUGCUCUUCGAGCAUUGUGCAAUAAUGCUUUGAUCAGCUGUGAAAGUAUG
Rosa chinensis is the source of this 3215-nucleotide RNA transcript. It is a transcript of the gene named disease resistance protein RUN1, with no coding region annotated. Lineage: Eukaryota; Viridiplantae; Streptophyta; Magnoliopsida; Rosales; Rosaceae. The transcript is spliced from 8 exons. The record is from RefSeq and is a predicted model, not a curated record.